RNAcentral lists this ribosomal RNA (253 nucleotides) under uncultured bacterium. Its description in RNAcentral is "partial 16S ribosomal RNA". It matches the Rfam family "Bacterial small subunit ribosomal RNA", at positions 524 to 777 of the family's 1533-position model. The record is from RNAcentral.
UACGGGGGGGGCAAGCGUUUGUUCGGAAUUACUGGGCGUAAAGGGCUCGUAGGCGGCCAACUAAGUCAGACGUGAAAUCCCUAGGCUCAACCUAGGAACUGCGUCUGAUACUGGAUGGCUUGAAUCCGGGGAGAGGGAUGCAGAAUUCCAGGUGUAGCGGUGAAAUGCGUAGAUAUGCGGAGGAACACCGAUGGCGAAGGCAUCCCUGGCUGCACUGACGCUCAUGCACGAAAGCGUGGGGAGCGAAACAAGG